UAAAAAUUUACGAUUAAACGAGUGCUUGAGUUGACUGGGAUUUCAUCCCGCCGUCCCCGUGGUUGUUGACUCUCGUUCUCGCGCCCUCUUUACGCAAACCGAAACUUUCAGUCUCCACUGAACUGAAACUCCUACACAUUGAAUAAUCGUGGUUAUAAAAUCGGCUCUUAUUAUAAUCCUUUCCUGUCCAUUUUGGUUCCAGUUUGAAGAAGAACAUGGUUUGGAAUUAUCCGGGCAUAUCCUUAGAGGAAAUGGUGAAACUAAUAAAAGGGUUUGUAGAUAUCUUGAUUCUGGCAUCUGGGUAUCAGUCCUCUGGUCUGUUAGCCCAGUGGGAUGCCCACAAUAUCAAGAAAGCCUUUCACUGGGCUUCAUUUUUUGAGAAUGUGCUUCGGCAAAUAAGUAGCUCAGAUGCUUACCAGGACUCAGUUAAGGAGCUUGAUGUAGCUAUCCGAGAAAUGACAUCCAAUCCUUCUUUUCCUCCGGGACUUGCAAAUCUAUCCUAUGGUACUCUUAAUAGGGCAAGAAAUUUUGUACUGGCACAUUUGUUCCAUACUUUGCCAUUGAGGGAUUCACAUCUCAGGGCUUUUCUAACUGCAAUAAUUGAGAUGGAUCUUGAUAAGCAUUCGGGAUCAGAGCAUGAGUGCCUUAGUGUAUAUCUCAACAAGUUUAACUUGGUUCCAGAACGGAGCGGUCUUGUUAAGGAUUCAGUUAUUGCAGUUGAAGACAUUACUCCAACUAUGAAGCUUGGAAGAUUCACGGAUGAUGACUUGACAAAGUUUACUCUUCAGGAGCUGUUCAAGAGGCAGUCGGCAGUGUCAUGCAUAUCUAAAGUUGGGACCGGCUUAGAUAUCCUCUCUAAGGCCAUCAGAUGUUGUAGUUGGACUGAUUCUGAUAGUAGCUUAUCUGAAGAACACCUGAAGCACGAAGGAGCUCAAACUUCAGUGGGGAGUGCAGAUCAAUUGGUUGAUUUUAUUACAUGGCAUCGCUGGAAAUCAUUGAACCUCUCAUAUUUUCUUCAUAAGCGAACUGUCAGAUUGGUGUCAGGUGCCAGCAUGAUAUUUUCUGCCCCUAAGUUUAAAUGGUUGCAAAUUUUUGAAUGGCUGAAUACUUCAGCAAAAUGCAAGGAGGAUGAUGAUUUGCAGGAAACAAUAGAACUCAUGUUGCUUGGAUGCAUUACAAACAAAUGGAAUCACCUAAUUGAAUAUUUCAUGUCAGUUUCUUAUGAUCCCUUCACUAUCUCAAAGCUGUAUCAUGAAGUCUGCAGUUUAUUUACUGGAAGAUCUCAAAGUUCUCACUCCAAAGAGGAAUCAACAGAUUCAAAGGUGUGUGUAUGCUUAUGGUAUAAAUCUGCAUAUACAUGCAAAUGUACAGUAUCCGUUGACCUGGAGCAUAAAAUUUCUAGUAUUUUUCUACUUUCAUGACUUCCUCUGUUGAUGCAGUUUUUAUUGGUUGAAUUGUUGAAUCGAUAUUUUCCUUUGUGCACAUGCGUGCCCUUUUUUUCUGCCAAUGUUAACUGUUCUAUCUGAGUAUGGACUUUUGUUGUGAAGAUUAUAAGGUGAAACUUCAGUAUUCAUAAGGAUGAGAUAGUUAUUCAUUUGAUUGAUUUAAAAUUUGUGAAGGAUAUGUGGGAAUACAUUAUUUGACUAAAUGGCAGUUUCUCUCUCUCUCUUAAAAUAGAAUGCCUUAACAUGUUCUGCAGUAGUGUAAAGACUGGUAAUUCUUAGAGCUAGUGUGAGUCAAUGGUGCCUUUUAUACUCUUACUGUGUCCACUCACACAUGAACAUAACAUGCAUGCAUGUUCCAUUGGUUCUUUCGGUAGUUUUUUAUGGGAUAUUGUUGAUUUUUUCGCUAAUCAAUUAUUGUUCAUUUUUUCCUGUAGCUUAGCUUUCAUCAAUUUUGUUCUAGUUCUACUUUGUAUAUCAAAGUGGAUCAUUGCUCUUCUAGCAUUAAAUUUCAAAGGUGUUGCUAGGUUAUGCUACUAGUUUGUCUAGAUGAGUUGAUGUUUGGAUAAUUUUGUUUUCUUAAAUUAAAGAAAUUGUGCACUUUUGGAGUUUUCUUCAAGGUACUGUAAAUAGCUGUAGAUGCGGCAUGUAUGUAUGUAUGUGUGUGUAUAUUUGUGUGUCUGUGUCAGGAACCAUGCGCACACCUAGCUGUAAGUAUGAUGCUCUGGGCUUAGUGCAUGUUAGUGGCUUUCACUUUUUGUGGUUAGUUUGAGGAUACUGUUUUUGGUAGCUUAUAUUGGGAGCUAACUGAGGUGAAUGUGAACAAGCAUAAGGAUGGUGACGUCAACUGCCUCAUUCAGCGUGAGGGGGACAAGGUCCAGCGCUAGUCCUAACAACUAUUGUUACAUUAAUGUCAUUGCAUGGAUGCUGCAGUGGGCAUUUGUUAGGACACACUAGUACUUGAGUGCUCGUGAUGCCCAGUGGAAUGAACAUUUCAAGGCUGGAUAGCUUUGACUACACACCUUAUUAUCCUUUCUUAUGGUAUUACUGAAACUUUUGCAAAAUUGAAUGAAUAAGGGAUUCCUGUCUGAAUGAAUUAUAUUAUUUCCAUUUUCCAGUCCCUCUUCACUUGAGUUUAUAUACAUGUUAUUUAGUUAAUUAUUGGCUGGUGUGGUGAAUGCUUUUACAUUUGGCUUAUUGCUCCAAUCCUUUUUGUGUUCAUCUGUAUCGCUUCUUGUGACUGAUUCUUGCAGUUGAUAACAGGAAAAUGCCAUUCUUGAGUAUUUGGAUAGGUUGCUGGGUGGACAGCUUCAUCAAUUAUGGAAACUAUCCCCUGUCCUUGUUGCUGUUGCAAUACCAUUCUGGUGGUCAUAUGGUUCUUCUUUUCAAUGUUUUGGCAUGCUAUGAAUUUGAAAUCAGUUUAGUUAUGUAAAAAGGAAUCAUGUUGAGUUUUUACAUUAUACACUUGUUAUGGCUGUACAAUUUUCAUCAUAUAUCAACAUUCAAUUAGUCAAACCCUCUCCUCCAAAUAACUUUAAAAAACAAAAAGGAAGAAUGGAAAACCUCAAAGGAGAUGUUCAGUUGCUAUGGAUUUUACAUGCUCUUUCCAUGACACACUAAUAUCAAUAGAAUAUAAAAAUGCCUGUAGGUGGCACUGUGGCAGAUUUCUCAUUAAAGAUGCUGAUAUUUGGUGUUGUAGGUCUCCUCUGUUUAGGUUGUAUCUAAGUGAAAUAGAGAGUCAAUUCAAAGGAGAUUCUUCAGUGAUGAGGUUUUGUCCUUUUAACUGUCUGCCAUCCUCGUUCUGAAUUAAAAAUUUUGACACGAUAUUUUUCAUAAUUUUCUUUACCAAUUGACCUUUGGUUAAUUAUGCAGAUGCUGCAGUUGUGUCCUAGAUAGGAAGGAGCAUGAAGAUUGUCAACUAGCUGAGAGAAUUUGGUGUCUUCACAUCUUUCAUAUUUGUGGCUUUCAUGUAAUGUAUGGUGCCAAUAGUGCUUGAAAGUUGAGCACUACCAUGUUGACAUUGGUGAGAGUCUCUACCCUACAUGUCUUUGCAAAUAUAUUGAAGUUGUCUUUGCAGGACUCAGAAUUUUCCCUUCAGUUGUAUUUGUUAUUUUUUUGAAACUAAUGGAUAUUAAAAAAAAUGAUUUUUUUUUUCAAAAUAAUGCAAAUAUUUAAUGAUUUUAUCCUUACUUUGAUUUAGUUGUCUGGAUGGAGACAGAAAGGUUUUACUUGAGUAGACCGAUUUGCAACUAACAGAAAUCUUGUUUAGAUAUCACAAUUUACAAAUAUAAUUUCUUGAUUUUCUUUUGGGGUUGAAGAUUCCAGUGCUGCAACUGCAACUAAUGGUUACAUAAUUAAAAUCCCUAGAUUUUUGCUAGCAUAAGAUUUAUGCCUUGCUAUCAAGUGAAUUCCUGGCUAUCUAUAAUGUCAGGAGUAGUUUUUCCUAUGAAAUUUAGACAAUUCUUGUAUUGUGUUCAAUUUGCGUCCCUUCUUGAAAUCUUUUCAAAGUUUUCAUCCAACAUGUCCCUUGAUUCUUUAUGUUGAAUAACAGUUUGAAAUCUCUUUGGAUUCUUCCUUAGUGAAUUGGUGGUUGUAUCUGUGGAGUUUGAUUCACAUCUAAAUGCCAAAAUAGGAUUUGUAUAUAGAUCUACAGGGAAUCACUGUUGUGACUCGUGAGGUUGUCUGAACUUUGAAUAGCUUUUACCUUGGUGUAUCCAAAUUUGUUUGUACUAAAUUUUGCGUUUCCUGAGUUAACAUCUUGCUUAUGCGAUAACUAUUCAUCUUAAUAUAAUUUGAACCUUUUUUUUUAUGCUUCAGAAUGUCUACCCUACAAAACCAUUUUUAGUGUGAUUAUAUCAGGUCUCUCUCACUCUUUAGGUAUGGAUGGCGUGGACCAUUAUGUUAGAGAGCAAACCUCAUCUUUUUAUUAUUUUUUUAACGGAUGCUUCCUGGCAACUUCAUCAACCAUGAGUAAAACAGAAUGAAAACCAGAAACAGGUAAACACUAGCUACUUUUUGGAAGACGGGCCAGAGUAAAAGUGCAUAUCAUUACUGUUGACAUUACAUCACUUGCUGCAUGUGUCUUGUCCUUUCUUCAUGUUGGGACCCAAAAGGCUAGUGAUAGAAGCAAAGUUGAAUGUUCCCUUGAUGAUAAUGUUUUUUGGCCUCCACUAAUGGGAGAAUGACAUCUGAUGUCAUUGACAGUGCCUCCUAUUAAUGGGAAUGAUACUUGAAAGCUCAACUUAUGGUUUUCUCUUAUGAUUGUGGGGUUCUAUUGUAUUACCAUGUAUCUAGAGUCGAGAAAGAAGUUAGAAAUGAAAAUUUUGAGCUUACAAGGUGUAAAGAAAAACCAAUUGCAAAAGUGGGGGAAGAGAAUUGCAAGCACGGAGUCUGCCAUUACACAUGGUAACGUAAAAAUUCGAGGAUCAUUUAGUUGUUUCUGUGGAUCACAUGUCUUGAGGCAGCUGGUAUGGAAGUUCAGGACAAAAUGGAAGCAAGCUUUGGGAUGGCAAAGGAGCAGUGUACGAUACAGCUAUGAUCUUCACAGCUAUUCUCUUAACUUUGACGAUGGUCUCCACCAUGGUCAUCUUGCAUCAAAGGGUUCUCAAUGAAAGUUUUCUCCCAUUCAGCAACAGGUCAUCUGGUUGUUAUCUGUUAGUUCACAGGACCAUUUGGCAUACAUACAUGGUUUUCUAAAGAUACUGGUGGUAUUUUCUUGAUCAGUCCAUUACGCAUUAUUUUUGAGUUAUAAUUUCAAUAAUGUUACUUUGCUUUACUGUGAGAGUUGCAAGGAACUGUCAAUGGCAUGUUGUAUAGCAUCUGAGACAUGUCUUAAUCUGGAGCUCUUUGAAGAGCAUUUUGUACUUGUUUUGAAAUGUUCUUCGUUACUUGCUGGCUUUCUGUGUUUAAAGAUUUCUUUUUGUUUAUAGAAAUGGAUUCCUGACCCAUUUCUGGAUUUUGUUGCACAAUUUUCUUGUCAACACUCUGCAAAGCUUAGUAGGUGCUACCCAACAUUUCCUUCAACAGGAUAAUCCUGAGAGCCUUUUUCGGAUGGCCAUGUCCCAUAUUUCCUGGAAUGGAACUGGUUUUGUUGCUUGCCUCUCCAGUAUCAG
RNAcentral lists this unclassified non-coding RNA (5554 nucleotides) under Hevea brasiliensis (rubber tree). Lineage: Eukaryota; Viridiplantae; Streptophyta; Magnoliopsida; Malpighiales; Euphorbiaceae. The record is from RNAcentral.